Molecule: transfer RNA, 64 nt
Filed under: Dipodomys ordii (Ord's kangaroo rat)
Lineage: Eukaryota; Metazoa; Chordata; Mammalia; Rodentia; Heteromyidae
Rfam family: tRNA
About the family: Transfer RNA (tRNA) molecules are approximately 80 nucleotides in length.
Source: Rfam by way of RNAcentral
GGUGGCUCCUUGGUAGAGCGCUUGCCUUCCAAGUAUAAGGUCCUGGGAUCGAUUCCCAGCACCA